This 59-nucleotide transfer RNA is filed under the name Apaloderma vittatum (bar-tailed trogon). It matches the Rfam family "tRNA", at positions 8 to 63 of the family's 71-position model. From Rfam's summary of the family: Transfer RNA (tRNA) molecules are approximately 80 nucleotides in length. Their secondary structure includes four short double-helical elements and three loops (D, anti-codon, and T loops). The record is from Rfam by way of RNAcentral. Lineage: Eukaryota; Metazoa; Chordata; Aves; Trogoniformes; Trogonidae.
UAGCUCAGUCAGUUAGAGCGUGGUGCUGAUAACACCAAGGUCACGGGUUCAAUCCCCAU